CAGUCGCCGCGGUAAUACGAAGGUCCCAAGCGUUGUUCGGAAUCACUGGGCGUAAAGGGAGCGUAGGCGGCGUGGUAAGUCAGAUGUGAAAUCCCGGGGCUCAACCCCGGAACUGCAUCCGAUACUGCCAUGCUUGAGGGUUGGAGAGGUAGCUGGAAUUCUCGGUGUAGCAGUGAAAUGCGUGGAUAUCGAGAGGAACACUCGUGGCGAAGGCGAGCUACUGGACAACAUCUGACGCUGAGGCUCGAAGGCUAGGGUAGCGAAAGGGAUUAGAUACCCGCGUAGUCCCUGUCUCUUAUAU
RNAcentral lists this ribosomal RNA (301 nucleotides) under uncultured bacterium. Its description in RNAcentral is "partial 16S ribosomal RNA". It matches the Rfam family "Bacterial small subunit ribosomal RNA", at positions 509 to 809 of the family's 1533-position model. The record is from RNAcentral.